CGACGCCAGUCGGCGCUGGCGUAGCUCGGCUCAGCCCGGCGGAGUCUGACUUCCGGAGGGCCAGCGGCGCGCUGGCUGGUUACCAAGGUUACCGCCGAGAGGCCGCGUCCUCAGCUGGUCCUAGACAUGCGUGGCGUCGGGGCUGUGGCACGGUCGGGUCCGGGGACACUUGUUUAACAAGACAUCUGCCCAUGUCCCUGGCCCAUCUCAUUGGCUGCAGCACAUCACAGUGGACCUUCUGCCUCCUCCCAGAUGCCCAGGGACAGUGAUCUGGAAGGAAGGGGCUUGAGGCUGUUUUCCUAGAACUCGACUUGAAUGCACCAAGGAAAGGCCAUUUGUGGGGACAUAGCAAGAAGGCAGCUGUCUGCAAGCCAGGAGGAGAACCCUCACCAGAAACCUCACAGAAAUCGGCCAACACCCUCAUCUCGGGCUUCCAGCUUCAGAACAACGAGAAAACAAAUUUCUGUUGUGUCCUGGUUCCCAUUUGUAAUUGGCACCCUAAUGAAACCGUUUUCUGUAGCCCUGGAAAUGGCUGAAAAUGAGGGGAGGGAAAUAAAGUGCUAUAAUUCAGAGCAUGGAGCACACCUUCCUGGUUCACCUGAGCUGGAUUCGGAGAGGUAAAAUGGCCAUUACCUCGUCUAAGCUGCCACUUACAGACACAGUACAGGAUGAGGCCCAGACCCACAGAGACAACGAUGAUGGCCACAGCUAAGAUGAUCCAGAAAUUAUUCCUCCACCAGCUCAUUGCAGUGGAAUCCUGAGAAGAAUGGAGAGAGAAGAAUGAGAGGGCAAAAGCAGAUGGCUACACCGAGAACUCACGCCAGCCCAACACACUUUGAUCUCGAGGCCUCUGGAAGGGAAGGUGCCUAAUGAACUACUGAAAGCCAGAGAUGCAAUGACAAAGGUACCAAGACUGGAGGUGAUCCAGGUCUUUCAUCCAAGAGCCCCAAGACGUAGCCUAAAUUCAUGCUACGGUAAUCCCAGCACUUUGGGAGGCCGAGGCGGGCGGAUCACCUGAGGUCAGGAGUUCGAGAGCAGCCUGGCCAACAUGGUGAAACUCCGUCUCUACUAAAAAUACAGAAAUUAGCCAGGUGUGGUGGCGGGUGCCUGUAAUCCCAGCUACUCAGGAGGCUGAGGCAGGAGAAUCGCUUGAACCCGGGAGGCGGUGGUUGCAGUGAGCCGAGAUCACGUCACUGCACUCCAGCCUGGGCGACAAGAGCGAAACUCCAUCUCAAAAUAAAAUAAAAAUAAAUAAAUUGACACAGUCAGUGCCUCGCUCCCACCCCCACCUCCAGCAUAGCACCAUGACAGUCUUCUCACAUAACAAGUCCCAAAACACACCAUCGGCAUCCAGAAAGUGAGAGUAACUCGUUACAGUUGAGACCUCUCACUCCCGGUCAUUAUCUCAUUUCAAUCCAAGAGGUAGACUUCUUCAUCGCCCCUGACAUACACAUGAGGAAAAGGCCCAGAGAGGUGAAGUGAUGCCUCAGGUCACUCAGCCAGUUACCAGUAGAGCAGAUCCUUCAAUGCAAGUUUUUCUCCAACCCUACACAGCAGUCGUACCAGGGCCCCAGGCUGCAAUCCCCUGGCCCAGUGCUGAUCGGUGGCUCCCAGGGACACGCCCUGAUGCCAGCGCUGGCAGAUGUCUGCUGUGAAGAGAGCAGGAAACUGUCCCUUGGAAAGCUGAGAUGCUUACCUGAACUGUGAAAGUAUCCAUAUGUGAGCAGCUAAGGAGACAGCAGUGGCUGGAGUGCUGCAGCUCAGGCACAGCUGGUGAGAGGCAUUCCUCACUCACAGGCCUUCACCCACUGCUAGAGACAGUGAGCCCCAUCCUGACCACUUCCCCUUUCUAGUCAGCCCACGGGGCAGAGACCCUGGCGUCAUCUCUAGGCAACCAUCCCUUUUCCAGGGAAGCUCAUGACCCACGGCUGUCCAGAAGCCAGAAUCUUCUCACUGCCCCGUGUCGCUCCCGCAAGGCCUACCAGAGGACCCUCAUGGUGUGGUAGGGGGUCCUGGCAGGGGCCAGGGGCCAGGGUGGAGACUUGGCAGUGGGGGUGGGUUUGGUGUCCCCACAGACGAGUUUGCCGUGAGCAUUCCUGGAUGUGGCAACCUCAGUCUCAAGAAGAGCGACAGGACGCCAGCUCCCAUGCAGAGACAGAUCCAGGUAAGAAACCAGCUCAUGUGUGACAAACUCACCAUCUCACCAUGAAGGUGACUCUUGAAAGCUCCUGUGCACCUUGGAACUGCUGAGACAUCUUCUGCUUGGAGGAGGCAAGGGACAGGCUUCCUGUUUCUAAAGGCGUGUGAGUGGCGACCUUGAGAAAUGUGGCCAGUGGAGCAUUUUGACUGAGUUGGGUCCCCUCGUGCAAUACUGUGAGACAGAACUCCCAGCGAGGCCCACGGCCUCUGACCAUGGGGGUUGGAGUGGGGAAACCAAUUAGCCAUUUUGUUGAAUUGGCUGGUUCUGACUCAAAUGAGCAGUCACAUUAGUAAAAAUAGGCAAACGGAUGUGCAUUGUAUUUGCCCAGAGCGAAUGAGUUGUUAUCCAUUUCAGUAAUAAUGAUAACCAGAUAUGUCUGAUAAAUAUCUGAUAAUGUCUGAUAUAUGUCUGGUAAAUUUAACAAACACCGGGCUCUGGCUGGGUGCGGUGGCUCACACCUGUAAUCCCAGCACUUUGGGAGGCCAAGGCGGGUGGAUCACCUGAAGUCAGUAGUUCGAGACCAGCCUGGCCAACAUGGUGAAACCCCAUCUCUACUAAAAAUACAAAAAUUAGCUGGGCAUUUUGGUGUGAACCGGUAGUCCCAGCUACUCAGGAGGCUGAGGCGGGAGAAUUGCUUGGACCCGCGAGGUGGAGGUUGCAGUGAGCCAAGAUCACACCAUUGCGCUCCAGCCUGGGCAACAGAGCAAGACUCUAUCUCAAACAAACAAAACAAAACAUCUGGCUCAGAAGAUUCCUGAUUUGCA
This 2964-nucleotide long non-coding RNA is filed under the name Homo sapiens (human). RNAcentral describes it as "HSALNT0236373". Lineage: Eukaryota; Metazoa; Chordata; Mammalia; Primates; Hominidae. The record is from RNAcentral.